Aquila chrysaetos chrysaetos is the source of this 1217-nucleotide long non-coding RNA. RefSeq lists it as uncharacterized. Lineage: Eukaryota; Metazoa; Chordata; Aves; Accipitriformes; Accipitridae. The record is from RefSeq and is a predicted model, not a curated record. The transcript is spliced from 2 exons.
GUGGCAGGAGGAGCCGGGUGAGAGGGGCCCUGGCCACCUGGGAGCUGGUGGGUGGACGGACCCGGCGGGGGCUGGCACGGAGGGUCCCUGUGCCGCUGCGGAGGCAGCAGGGAGGGAGCUGCAAGGGAUCAGCCCUGGGCGAGGGUCCUCAUCUCUCCCAGGGUCUGGGGGGGGGUCUGCAGCCACCACGAUGGGUGGACCAUGCUCUGGGCACAGGCAGCUUCAGCUCUCUCGGCGUUGCCUCCUCGGGCUGCGGUUGCUCCAGCUCUGGUGGGUCCCAGGUUGUGCAGCCCAGGCGCGGUCAGAGCGAGGGGCUGGUGCUGGGGGAGAUGCGGAGCCUCCCGCCAUGGGGGGGUGACCUCAGCCUUGCCCGGGAGCCGGCUCUGUGGCCGGGCAGGCGCUGCCGUGGCCAGUGCCCACCCGGCACGGAUCCCUUGGCUCCAGACCGGGUGCGGUGCGGGUCGACGGCGUGGAGGUGUGCACCACGGGCACGGGCACGGACACGACCGUCAUCAACACCAGCGUCGGCCAGCAGUCCUCGCUGUCCUACCUGGUCACUGCCGCGAGGUCCUGGUGGCGGCUGCAGCGUGGACCGGGCCAUGCUGGGGGUGGUUGUGGGGCUGGUCUGUACAGACUGGGCUAUACUGGACCAUACUGGGGGUGGCUGUGGGGCUGGUCCGUACGGACUGGGCCAUGCUGGGCCUUUGUCCCCAGGCUGGCUUUGUCCCCAGGCUGGCUUUCCUCACACAGUUUGUCACCUCUGGAGACUUCUGUGUCCUGAGCACGAAGCACGGCUGCGGUUGCUGGGUGGAUGCGAGCGGCACCAGGGGCUUUCCUGGGGGACCGGUGACUCGGUGACCCACAAUGUGCAGUGCAGAGCCCGGGGCAACUCCCUUCUUCUGAGGACCUGCAGACGUGGCUCUUGACCUUCCCCAGGCCCGGAGCCAGCACCGCUCUAAUCGAAGCUCGCCGUUUCUGCCCCAGUUCGUCAGCGGGUGCCUGUGCUCCCUGGCACAGCAUGGCACGGCACAGUGUGGUACUGCACGGCACGGCACAGGGCAGCUGCUUCACUGGCCGACCACAGCUGCUGGGUGGGUGCACAGGGGUGGGGAUUUCUCACGUGUAACGACAGCAGCAGAAGUUUGGCAUCUUGCAGGGGUGUUUCAGCUGUCUGUGAAAUUUCCAUUCUCUUUUGCAGAAAAAAGAAAGGAAAAAGC